CACACUGGACUGAGACACGGUCCAGACUCCUACGGGAGGCAGCAGUGGGGAAUAUUGCACAAUGGGCGCAAGCCUGAUGCAGCCAUGCCGCGUGUGUGAAGAAGGCCUUCGGGUUGUAAAGCACUUUCAGUCGUGAGGAAGGUAGUGUAGUUAAUAGCUGCAUUAUUUGACGUUAGCGACAGAAGAAGCACCGGCUAACUCCGUGCCAGCAGCCGCGGUAAUACGGAGGGUGCGAGCGUUAAUCGGAAUUACUGGGCGUAAAGCGCAUGCAGGUGGUUUGUUAAGUCAGAUGUGAAAGCCCGGGGCUCAACCUCGGAAUAGCAUUUGAAACUGGCAGACUAGAGUACUGUAGAGGGGGGUAGAAUUUCAGGUGUAGCGGUGAAAUGCGUAGAGAUCUGAAGGAAUACCGGUGGCGAAGGCGGCCCCCUGGACAGAUACUGACACUCAGAUGCGAAAGCGUGGGGAGCAAACAGGAUUAGAUACCCUGGUAGUCCACGCCGUAAACGAUGUCUACUUGGAGGUUGUGGCCUUGAGCCGUGGCUUUCGGAGCUAACGCGUUAAGUAGACCGCCUGGGGAGUACGGUCGCAAGAUUAAAACUCAAAUGAAUUGACGGGGGCCCGCACAAGCGGUGGAGCAUGUGGUUUAAUUCGAUGCAACGCGAAGAACCUUACCUACUCUUGACAUCCAGAGAACUUUCCAGAGAUGGAUUGGUGCCUUCGGGAACUCUGAGACAGGUGCUGCAUGGCUGUCGUCAGCUCGUGUUGUGAAAUGUUGGGUUAAGUCCCGCAACGAGCGCAACCCUUAUCCUUGUUUGCCAGCGAGUAAUGUCGGGAACUCCAGGGAGACUGCCGGUGAUAAACCGGAGGAAGGUGGGGACGACGUCAAGUCAUCAUGGCCCUUACGAGUAGGGCUACACACGUGCUACAAUGGCGCAUACAGAGGGCGGCCAACUUGCGAAAGUGAGCGAAUCCCAAAAAGUGCGUCGUAGUCCGGAUUGGAGUCUGCAACUCGACUCCAUGAAGUCGGAAUCGCUAGUAAUCGUGGAUCAGAAU
Molecule: ribosomal RNA, 1053 nt
Filed under: Vibrio sp. a241
Lineage: Bacteria; Pseudomonadati; Pseudomonadota; Gammaproteobacteria; Vibrionales; Vibrionaceae
Description: bacterial SSU rRNA
Rfam family: Bacterial small subunit ribosomal RNA
Source: RNAcentral